Molecule: long non-coding RNA, 345 nt
Organism: Gorilla gorilla gorilla (western lowland gorilla)
Lineage: Eukaryota; Metazoa; Chordata; Mammalia; Primates; Hominidae
Exons: 2
Source: RefSeq, a predicted model, not a curated record
GCAUUGCAAGACUGCCAGUUCCAAGACAACUAUGCGGUUCAGGGGGUUUGCCUCACAGACUAUGCAGGAGCCUGGGCCAAUACAAUGUGCAAGAAAGGAACUAGCUCACAAAAGCUGAAUUUAAGGCUUGCAAGACCCAGGGACGCAAUCUAGCUGCUGAGAAGUUCAGAGUCAAACCUGAAUCUCACCUCUGCAAAGAGCACAGGACUCCAUGGCAAACGUUGUAUAUACGCAAGUCAUCCCUGGCACCACCUUAAUUUACUGCACCAGGCUUUCUUCAUUGUGAUGAUGUUCUCUCUCUUUUCUAAAAAAAAUAAAAAUAAAAAUAAAAUUUAAAAAAAUCCU